CCUGGCUCAGGACGAACGCUGGCGGCGUGCCUAAUACAUGCAAGUCGAACGAACUCUGGUAUUGAUUGGUGCUUGCAUCAUGAUUUACAUUUGAGUGAGUGGCGAACUGGUGAGUAACACGUGGGAAACCUGCCCAGAAGCGGGGGAUAACACCUGGAAACAGAUGCUAAUACCGCAUAACAACUUGGACCGCAUGGUCCGAGUUUGAAAGAUGGCUUCGGCUAUCACUUUUGGAUGGUCCCGCGGCGUAUUAGCUAGAUGGUGGGGUAACGGCUCACCAUGGCAAUGAUACGUAGCCGACCUGAGAGGGUAAUCGGCCACAUUGGGACUGAGACACGGCCCAAACUCCUACGGGAGGCAGCAGUAGGGAAUCUUCCACAAUGGACGAAAGUCUGAUGGAGCAACGCCGCGUGAGUGAAGAAGGGUUUCGGCUCGUAAAACUCUGUUGUUAAAGAAGAACAUAUCUGAGAGUAACUGUUCAGGUAUUGACGGUAUUUAACCAGAAAGCCACGGCUAACUACGUGCCAGCAGCCGCGGUAAUACGUAGGUGGCAAGCGUUGUCCGGAUUUAUUGGGCGUAAAGCGAGCGCAGGCGGUUUUUUAAGUCUGAUGUGAAAGCCUUCGGCUCAACCGAAGAAGUGCAUCGGAAACUGGGAAACUUGAGUGCAGAAGAGGACAGUGGAACUCCAUGUGUAGCGGUGAAAUGCGUAGAUAUAUGGAAGAACACCAGUGGCGAAGGCGGCUGUCUGGUCUGUAACUGACGCUGAGGCUCGAAAGUAUGGGUAGCAAACAGGAUUAGAUACCCUGGUAGUCCAUACCGUAAACGAUGAAUGCUAAGUGUUGGAGGGUUUCCGCCCUUCAGUGCUGCAGCUAACGCAUUAAGCAUUCCGCCUGGGGAGUACGGCCGCAAGGCUGAAACUCAAAGGAAUUGACGGGGGCCCGCACAAGCGGUGGAGCAUGUGGUUUAAUUCGAAGCUACGCGAAGAACCUUACCAGGUCUUGACAUACUAUGCAAAUCUAAGAGAUUAGACGUUCCCUUCGGGGACAUGGAUACAGGUGGUGCAUGGUUGUCGUCAGCUCGUGUCGUGAGAUGUUGGGUUAAGUCCCGCAACGAGCGCAACCCUUAUUAUCAGUUGCCAGCAUUAAGUUGGGCACUCUGGUGAGACUGCCGGUGACAAACCGGAGGAAGGUGGGGAUGACGUCAAAUCAUCAUGCCCCUUAUGACCUGGGCUACACACGUGCUACAAUGGAUGGUACAACGAGUUGCGAACUCGCGAGAGUAAGCUAAUCUCUUAAAGCCAUUCUCAGUUCGGAUUGUAGGCUGCAACUCGCCUACAUGAAGUCGGAAUCGCUAGUAAUCGCGGAUCAGCAUGCCGCGGUGAAUACGUUCCCGGGCCUUGUACACACCGCCCGUCACACCAUGAGAGUUUGUAACACCCAAAGUCGGUGGGGUAACCUUUUAGGAACCAGCCGCCUAA
RNAcentral lists this ribosomal RNA (1477 nucleotides) under Lactiplantibacillus plantarum. RNAcentral's name for it is "bacterial SSU rRNA". It matches the Rfam family "Bacterial small subunit ribosomal RNA". Lineage: Bacteria; Bacillati; Bacillota; Bacilli; Lactobacillales; Lactobacillaceae. The record is from RNAcentral.